Molecule: ribosomal RNA, 253 nt
Filed under: uncultured bacterium
Lineage: Bacteria
Description: partial 16S ribosomal RNA
Rfam family: Bacterial small subunit ribosomal RNA
Source: RNAcentral
UACGUAGGGGGCAAGCGUUGUCCGGAAUCAUUGGGCGUAAAGAGCGUGUAGGCGGUUCGGUAAGUCGGCUGUGAAAGUCCAGGGCUCAACCCUGGGAUGCCGGUCGAUACUGCCGGACUAGAGUUCGGAAGAGGCGGGUGGAAUUCCCGGUGUAGCGGUGAAAUGCGCAGAUAUCGGGAGGAACACCUAUGGCGAAGGCAGCUCGCUGGGACGUUACUGACGCUGAGACGCGAAAGCGUGGGGAGCAAACAGG